CCUCUCCUUCAUCUUUUCCUGCAUAAAAACUCUGCCUCAGAACAACAAAGGAAAUAUGCAAAGCGAGAAAGGAACUCAAAAGAGAGGACAUGGAUUUGCCUUGUAACUCUUCUCAACCCGGUGCAUGACAUAGAAGCCGAGGACUCCGCCAAGGAUAGUCCCGGUUAUGAUUCGAAUGUACGCCCACUUGUACGACACCAUCUCUUUCGGUCCUUCCUUUUCCUUCGAUACUAGCUACUAUCUGUGCGCAUGCAACGCAUAUUUUGGAAAAAGAAAACAGAAAUUAUUUUGGGUAAAAAUUUCUAACUUACAAAGCAAAUAUAAUUUGGAGAGAGGUUGGUGUUGGGUAAAAAAAUAUGUUUUGCAACUUAUAAUGCAAUGCCCAAGGAGGUUGGCGUUAGCUUUCACUUAUUACCUAAAUGAUUCAAGGCUUUCUUUUUAGUAUCUUGAGGUAAGAGACAAUGAUGGAUUAACUUGUAUUCAAAACACUGCAACAUUUAGAGUCCAACGAUUUCAUUAAAAAGUAAUCAAGUAUCCAGGCACCACUAUCCUCAGAUCAAAUAAGCAAAAAAACAUAAAACAAAUGACAAAUGAAACGGCACUACAAUUACUUGAUAUGCUUUUCAGUAAAUUUACCAAAUACUUUCCUUCCUUGCCACUCUCACACUAUCAUUUCUUUAAUUCGUCUUUAUGCUAUUUGCAAUUCAAAAAGUCAUAUUAUCCAAAUUGCUAAAUCCUUUCCCGAAAUUCUGAGUAAAAUUUAAUGAGAAAAGUAAAGAACAUAAAAUACAAACAAAAGUAAAGGAAGCCCCCAUCUUGUUCAGCUCAAAAACAUAGUUUUAAAAGGCGCAAAGGACUCCUGACCCUAAAUGCCGGGCAAAAUCAAGCAAGUUAGACACACAUUUUCACAGUUUUUGAAGAUAAAUAGAACACUCCUUAGAAGUUCUAGUAGUAAUCAUUGAAUGAAACUAACGCACUUUAAAAUCAGGUUAUAGCUCUAUUAAAUAUUUAAGAUCACUCAAUAAGAUUUGUGAACAAAUGUGUGGCUCAAAUCAAUGCAUAUAUCAAAGAGAGAAAAAAGACAGUUAGAGGGCACAAAAUUUGAAACUGCUUCGGAACUUCCCUUCUCCUAUGCUUUAAAAUGGCGGCAGGAACCACCAUCACCAAAUGCUUCUUUGGCGACUGUUCCCACCGCAUCGGAGGAGAGAAGCUACAAAGCGCUUCUACAACUAUUUUGGUGCAAUGAACUAGGCCUUACAUUCCCAAACUAGGCUCUAGCUUAGAAAAUUAGAAUUAUCAAGAAAAACAAUGAAAAACAUUUGUUUGGUAUCGUUGCCGUUUUUUUCUAUUUUUUAAAAAAAUAGAAUUUUUACAUGAAAUAGUACAGAAAGGGAUAGUGGAUUGCUUGCAAUUCUUACAUUCACGAUAUUUGCUCAGCAAAGAAAAAAAAAGAAAAAAAAAAAGCAACUUCUUUUUUUUCCAUGAUUUUUGUCAUCCAUUACUCGGCCGAAGUGUAUUAUUACAAGCUAACCAAUCAUGACGAAUUUUUUAUAUAGAAUUAGUGUUUCAACAAAAUAAGAUCGAAAAAAAGAGGGGGCAAUGAUGCCAAAUGAGGCCUAAAACCUAUUAAUUAUAAUUAGAGCUCAAAACAGCAGGAAUUAGACUAAAAUUUGUUCAUCUCCAACUAUGUUUAAACAAAAUUACGCAAUUAUAUUGCGCAAAAGCUAAAUAGAAUCCAAUUUACAUGAUGAGCCAAACAUUACAUUACACAAGAAAAACACAAACCCAAAACCCUAAAAACAGCAGGAGCAACUACAGAUAAGCAAAAUUGUGUACUCACAUCAUCAACACAAAAGCUAAAUAGAGUUCAAACCCAAAGAUUACAUGAGAGAAACUCAAAAUCCUAAACCCUAAUUUAUGAAUCAACCAUUAAUAAAAGGCAUGAAACUCCCUAUCUUUUUCCCUUCCAUAUUCUAUUAGAAAGGUUUAGGAGAUGAUGGAGUUGGGCAGGGUAGUCUGACCUUGCGAUGGCGACGGUGGGCGUCGGAUGGGAAGGAAGACAGCACGAUUUGCAGUCGGAUGAUCGAGCCGCCUGCCUUCCUUGUUCAGCUCGACGCAGAAGGCAGUCUCACGUUUGGCUCAAGAAAAAGAGCGAUGCCUUCCUUGUUUCACUCCAAAACUGGAAAGACAUGUUAUUCGGGUUAAUUGCAUACAGGUCCAUAUAAACAUAAUAAAUUACAAAUACAUUUCUACAAAAUUUAUUUUUCACAUAUUGUUUCUGUAAAAGUCAUGAUUUUUCCAAAUAUAUUCUUGCUGUUAAAAAAAUUUAGUUAACCAUAGGCUAAAUACUUAAUCUUGAUUAGUUAAUGAGAUGAAUUGACCUUUUUAUCUAUCUUAAAUUAAUAAUAAUUGGGACUUUUUGAAGGGCAAAUUUGUGAUGACAAAAAGGUCAUUUCACUUAUAAAAUAGAUGGACUUUAACAGUAACAAAUCAGAGAGACAUAUUUGAAAAUAUUAAGACUUUUAUAACGACAAUAUUUAAAAAUUAAACUUUAUAGCGAUAUAUUUGUAAUUCACUAUAUUUAUAAAGAUCUGUAUGAAAUUAAUCCUUAUUAUUUAUUUAACUGUAAUUUUAUUUUCGUCAAAAUUUAAACUCUAGUAAUUAACUUUAGCCCAACUCAGGCCAAAAUCAAUUAUGAAAACAAAAAGUUGAAAAAAAAAUAAAAUACUAACUCAUAUUUCACACCUUUAAUUUUUCCGUGUCAUUCGCUUUCUUUCAAAUAAAUAUCAAAACUGAAAAAAAAUUUAGUUCCACCACCAUACAAAUAAAUACCAGAAGAAAAUUAAUUUUUAUUUGAAUUUCAGUUUCAUUCAAAAGUUUACUUCAAUCUCAAUUUCAUUUUCGGUGAAACAAAUAGACCACAGGUGUAAGAAGGUAAAAUGUACAGAACAUAUCUCAAUUAUAGACCAUUUUAAAUUGACUAUCAAAUCUUUUAAAAUUUUAAUUUUAUUGUCCAAUCUGUUAAUUUGUUUGAUUGACUCUGUCAGCAAUACUUUAAUUUCAAAUUUUGAAUACGCCGUUAUCUUUACCAGUUCAAUUAGUAUACUUCAUACAAUUCUCGCUACUAUAAUUUUAUUAAAGUGAACAGUUAACUUAAAUUUUGAGAUUAAAGGUCGCCAACUGACUUAUAUCAAACAAAUUGAAAGAUUAAAUAGUAAAUUCAAAAUUUUGAAUUUCAAGAUAAUACAUUAGGUCAGGUAAGUUAUACACUUGUUUAGCGUGCAAGAAUUACUCUCCACUCACUAAUAAAGGUUACUAUUUUCGUAGUAGUAUUAUUAACUUUUUUUCUUUUAAUACUAAAAAGAAUUUUGUGAACCCUAACACUCCGUUUGGAUUGAAUAUAAGAUGGGUUUGGAUUGAAUAUAAGAUGGGGUAUAAAGGCCUUAUACCCCAUCUUGUACCCAAACGCAAUUUGGUUAAGGUGAGAACUAUACGGAUUAUUCUAGAAAUAACCCGUUAAGGAUGGGAACUAUAGUUCUCAUCCCGAGUGGGAACAAGCUUAGGAACAAGCUUGUUCCCACCCACUUGGGUACAGAGAGAGAGAGAGAGAGAGAGAGUGAGUGAGUGAGGUUUGUUUUAAAAUAGAAUUUAAAUUUUUUAGAAUUUAAAAUAUGUAAUUUUAAAAUUAAAAUUGUAAAUCAUAAAUUCUAAAUUUUAAAGUUUAAAAUUUAAAUUUGAUAUUACAAAUUUUUAAAUUUUAACUGUGAUAUUUUAACUAUUUCAAAUUUAAAUUUGGUCUUAAAUUUAAAUUUUAAAAUUUAUAAAUUUAAAUUUUAAAAUUUAUAAAUUUAAAUUUUUAAAUUCAAUUAUAGGAAUAAUAUCAUUAUUUUCUAUUUAUAAUUAUCAACUAUUUCUCUUAUACCAAAUAACUAUCCAAAUAUAAUUUUUCUAGUUCCAGCUUAUACUAAUAUUUUAAUCCAAACAAAAUAAAUACCCUGAUUCUUACAAAAAUUCAUACUUAUACCUAUUUCUGGAAUAACUAGUUCCUACUAAUUUACGAACCAAACGAAGCCUAAAGAUUACUUCACAUUUAUAUAUGUAUUUAUUCUUAAAAUAUGCUCCUUCUCUCUCUCUCUCUCUCUCUCUCUCUCUCUCUCUCUCAAUAAAAGAAAAAACAAAACAAAAGAAACUUUUUUU
RNAcentral lists this long non-coding RNA (4197 nucleotides) under Ananas comosus (pineapple). Its description in RNAcentral is "long non-coding RNA (ACOM_LNC026631)". Lineage: Eukaryota; Viridiplantae; Streptophyta; Magnoliopsida; Poales; Bromeliaceae. The record is from RNAcentral.